Molecule: non-coding RNA, 619 nt
Organism: Parasteatoda tepidariorum (common house spider)
Lineage: Eukaryota; Metazoa; Arthropoda; Arachnida; Araneae; Theridiidae
Source: RefSeq, a predicted model, not a curated record
AUACAUCUGUCAGUAGCAGUACCCGAAAGGAUCUUUUCUAUAAAUUGCUUCCUUCCAUUCAGCCAGCGGAAACUUCUGUGAAUUGGCUGACCUAUUUGUCACAUUAUUCUAUGACAAAUGGCAUGUGGAAACUUAAAGAAUCACAAGAAUAGUAACAAAAUAUUUUUCUUUGUAUUAGUUCCUACCUAGUUCAUCUUUAUAUACUAUUUAUUAUAAAACAAUUAUGGUGAAAAGCUAUUCCUUCUAAGUUAUUUUAUAAAAAUACGCCUCCUAAUUACUCGGAGCAUUUAAUAGGUUAGUACAGAAGAAGUGGAGAUGUUGAAGAGAGCAUUUAUUAAUCCCACAAUGCUCUAUUCAUAUGGCAUAGUUUUGAGAGGCGAUAAAUUCACUUUUGUAAAAGUUGAAAAGGAGGCUAUAUUAGGAAGAAAAGUUGAUGAGUCCUGUCUUAUAGUGCAACUGGAUCAAGGUAUCCUCAUUUGCAUCUAUGGCUCAAGUCUAUUAACAAAAGAUAUUUACAAGCACUUUAUUGAAAUUUAUGAGAAAUAUAACAGAGCUUAAUCACUUUAUCAAUAAAAAUGGGUCUCAGUUGAUUAUGACGGGAGAGAAAUGAGGAUAAAAU